GACGAACGCUGGCGGCGUGCCUAAUACAUGCAAGUCGAGCGCUGAAGGUUGGUACUUGUACCAACUGGAUGAGCAGCGAACGGGCGAGUAACGCGUGGGGAAUCUGCCUUUGAGCGGGGGAUAACCUUUGGAAACGACUUCUAAUACCGCAUAAAACCUUUAAACACAAGUUUUAAGUUUGAAAGAUGCAAUUGCAUCACUCAAAGAUGAUCCCGCGUUGUAUUAGCGAGUUGGUGAGGUAAAGGCUCACCAAGGCGAGGAUACAUAGCGCACCUGAGAGGGGGAGCGGCGCCAGUGGGACUGAGAGACGGCCCAAACUCCUACGGGAGGCAGCCGUAGGGAAUUUUGGGCGAUAGAAGAGAGUAUGAUAGAGCAACGCCGGGAGGGUGAAGAAGGUUUUUCGGAUCGUAAAACUCUGUUGUUAGGGAAGAAAGCUGGUGAGAGUGGAAAGCUCAUGAAGUGACGGUAACUAGCAAGAAAGGGACGGCUAACUACGUG
RNAcentral lists this ribosomal RNA (498 nucleotides) under uncultured bacterium. RNAcentral's name for it is "partial 16S ribosomal RNA". It matches the Rfam family "Bacterial small subunit ribosomal RNA", at positions 28 to 507 of the family's 1533-position model. The record is from RNAcentral.